RNAcentral lists this long non-coding RNA (1357 nucleotides) under Numida meleagris (helmeted guineafowl). RNAcentral's name for it is "lncRNA (ENSNMEG00000006655.1)". The record is from RNAcentral. Lineage: Eukaryota; Metazoa; Chordata; Aves; Galliformes; Numididae.
CUGCUCCUUUUUUUUUUUCCUCUCCACAAUGCCUGCUGAAGCAAUAUCUUAAGAAAGACAAGAUAAGCAAUACCUUUUCUAAGAGAAAAUAUUCUUGAAAUCUGGCAAAUUCUGCUGUGUUACUUUUAAAAACAAACAUUUCUCAGUGCAGGCUUGUCCACCUCUCUUGGAAAGUGUACAUCCUCUGACAUGAUGCAUUGUGAUAUAUUGAUGUGCUUAGAUAAUGACUGAUCUGACAGCACCCUCCAGGCACAAGAUUUUCCCUUGACGGGGAUGAGCUGCCAUCGUGCACUGUUAGAGGAAAUCAGAGAACACCAGGCCCACUGGUACGGACCCAGCUGGCAUGGGUCAAAUUCAGGCACCAGGUCAUAACUGCAAGAACUGAUCACUGUAAGAUGUGGAAAGAAGUGUCUGGAGCUGGAAAAAGAGUUCAGUUUGGGGGCUGGGCAGUGUUUUUACUUUAGUUUAGUUUUUUUUGUUGUUGUUAUUUUUAAGGGAGUAGAAUCAGUGGAACUACAUUUAUUUUAUUGGAAAGUAGUAACUGCAAUAAGCAGUGUCCCACUUGAAGAAGAUGGUAGCAUUUUGGAAAUGUAAGAUGAAGAUGUGAGGGCCACGUGAUUUGUACUAGUUGCUAAUUAACCAGUUUUGAGCAGAGUUUUGAAAGGUAGUUUGAGGUUUAGAAGCCUAAAUAGCUCAUCUGUUCCCUCCCUUUCUUUUGUGUUUCUUUACAGUUCCGAGGCUUAUGUCAUAUAUACAUGUAACCUGCAGCACCCUUCCUUACCAUGAAUGCAGAUCAACAGACCUUGGUUGUUGUGGGCUGUACAGCAAGGGGCACGUCCCACAGGCCGGUCCCUGCCAACGUUCUUCUCUGCACAGCACCAAAAGGAAAAGAACUGGUGAGGACAUGACCAUUGUAGCAGCAGGAGGGAUCCAGCUGUGGGACGAGGCAGUGGUUGCUGCACACCCAUAUAACCCAGAUUCACAGUGCAGAGGGUUGAGAAAAAUUCGUGAUGCAGGAAGUCGAGUAGAUGUGUCGUGUUUUGGAGGAUAGAAGCAGGCCAGCAGGAAAGCUUUGCGGAAACCCGAACGUCAAACAGCCCCAAACUCACGAACUCUGCAUGCAACACUUAGCUAACACACUGACUCAAGCGUUUGGAUGAAGAUCCUUCCAACAUAUGGUCUGAAAUGAGUCUCUCCUGUAAAUUUCAUGGAGUUAUUUUCUUUAUAGCUUUACUCUUCUGAAGCCUAGUAAAAAUGCCCGUUCUCUGUUUAUUCUGGCUAUUUAGGCUAGCAGUUAUAUAAUGUUCAUGAAACAGAAGCAGCAUAUAAUUUUUAUGGUUCGCAAUAUCUCUCCUCA